CCCUACGGGGCGCAGCAGGCGCGAAAACUUUACAAUGCGAGAAAUCGUGAUCAGGGAACCCCAAGUGCCCGUAAAUUCGGGCUGUUAAUCUGUGUAAAAAGCAGGUGGAGAAAGGGCCGGGCAAGACCGGUGCCAGCCGCCGCGGUAAUACCGGCGGCUCGAGUGGUGGCCACUAUUACUGGGCUUAAAGCGUCCGUAGCUGGAUUGUUAAGUCUCUUGGGAAAUCUACCGGCUUAACCGAUAGGCGUUCAAGGGAUACUGGCAAUCUAGGGACCGGGAGAGGUGAGAGGUACUCCAGGGGUAGGAGUGAAAUCCUGUAAUCC
RNAcentral lists this ribosomal RNA (323 nucleotides) under uncultured archaeon. RNAcentral's name for it is "bacterial SSU rRNA". It matches the Rfam family "Archaeal small subunit ribosomal RNA", at positions 321 to 648 of the family's 1478-position model. The record is from RNAcentral.